Molecule: long non-coding RNA, 372 nt
Organism: Panthera uncia (snow leopard)
Lineage: Eukaryota; Metazoa; Chordata; Mammalia; Carnivora; Felidae
Exons: 3
Source: RefSeq, a predicted model, not a curated record
GCCUUCUACAAUAGUUAUCAGAGUCAAAUACUGUGGCAGCUGGCCACCGCUAUUAGAUGUUGUCCAAUGACCGCUUCCAUUUAUACCAACCUUCUCUUCUCAGAUUUAUGAAUGUAAUACUGUACCCAUGGAAAAUGUUGGAGCACCUCAGAUAACACUACUCUUAUCACUGAUACAUCUGAUACAGCUGACAAAGAAAGCAGAGGAGAACCACCAAGAGAUGUGGGAAGCUCCUUCAUCAAAGACAUAACGGAGAGUCCACCUGCUAAGACUUUCACCCUGCUGGUGCUGUUUGAUCCAACCACAUUUAAUAGCUUUCACACAUGGAUUUUAUGUACUGGCAUUACAGUGGGAAGAAACAUCUAGGGGAAA